GCAAUAAAUUGGAAGUCUAGGGUUUUACAAGCUUUACCCGUUCCAUCUCCUCCAACCCUAGUUCAGAGCGGCCGUAGCUUCCCUCCUCUCCUCUCAAUCUCUGAAGAAUGGAGUCUCAGAUCAAGCAUGCUAUUGUGGUGAAGGUUAUGGGUCGUACUGGAUCCAGAGGACAAGUGACUCAGGUGCGGGUCAAGUUUAUUGAUGACCAGAACAGGUUUAUCAUGAGGAAUGUCAAGGGACCAGUCAGAGAGGGUGAUGUGCUCACUCUGCUGGAGUCCGAGAGGGAAGCCAGGAGGUUGCGCUGAUCGAUUGCCUUGCUAUAUAUCUUGAUUGCAUCUUGAAAGGGCGUUAAAUACGCAGAAUGUAUUAUCAGUUUUGGUGCACUACUUAAUAGCUUUCUUGGAUUAUGGCAGUUUGUUAAAUUUGGACAAAUGCGUGACUUUAUUUAAUGGAUUUGAUAUGAUUGAAUCUGUUUGAUUAAAUGUUGUGA
This is a long non-coding RNA of Ipomoea nil (Japanese morning glory), 490 nucleotides long. RefSeq lists it as uncharacterized. The transcript has 2 exons. The record is from RefSeq and is a predicted model, not a curated record. NCBI's taxonomy places the organism in Eukaryota, Viridiplantae, Streptophyta, Magnoliopsida, Solanales, Convolvulaceae.